Molecule: non-coding RNA, 93 nt
Organism: Choiromyces venosus 120613-1
Lineage: Eukaryota; Fungi; Ascomycota; Pezizomycetes; Pezizales; Tuberaceae
Source: the annotation of a GenBank genome assembly
GGGUGAAUGGUGUAGCGGUACAGUAUCACACCCCAUUUGCAAUGAUCUGAUUAUGAUUUGAGAAGGUCCUGGGUUAAACCCCCGGUGGGUCCA